UCCGGUUUAGACCGGCGGUCUCCCUAGAGAAAGCAACUAAGGACAGGGGUUGCGCUCGUUAUAGGACUUAACCUGACACCUCACGGCACGAGCUGACGACAACCAUGCAGCACCUUGUAAAUUGUCUUGCGAAAGAUCUGUUUCCAAACCGGUCAAUCUACAUUUAAGCCUUGGUAAGGUUCCUCGCGUAUCAUCGAAUUAAACCACAUGCUCCACCGCUUGUGCGGGCCCCCGUCAAUUCCUUUGAGUUUCAAACUUGCGUUCGUACUCCCCAGGUGGGAUACUUAUCACUUUCGCUUAGCCACUCAGGGUUGCCCCCGAACAGCUAGUAUCCAUCGUUUACGGCGUGGACUAC
RNAcentral lists this unclassified non-coding RNA (355 nucleotides) under uncultured Flavobacteriaceae bacterium. RNAcentral describes it as "contains 16S-23S intergenic spacer region". Lineage: Bacteria; Pseudomonadati; Bacteroidota; Flavobacteriia; Flavobacteriales; Flavobacteriaceae. The record is from RNAcentral.